CGUGGAUUAAUUAUGACGAUGAAUUCAAAUGUAAUAUUUUUUCGAUAAACAAUAUCAAAAAUGACGAAACUCUAAUUAUUAUUAAUAACUCAAUUCAAAUGUCUUAAACACUCAGGGACGUAGAGAACAGGUUAAAAACAUCAAUUACAAUGCUAAUGAGAACAAGAGUGAGUAAAGUCUAUGAAUUAUAAAACGUAGCCAAAAGGGCAGUUUGUUUUGGAAAUGAUAGGUUAGUUUUUUUAACGAAAAUUUGCACGGGUUUAACCUUUCGGGUAAGGCCUUUCGCAGGAACGAUAUCGGCCAGCUGUACAUGUUGUUGUCCAAAAGCGCAGCAUAAGCUCAUCUAUAGUCCACGACACGAAAACUUGCCCCUGAGUAUUGCGACUCACAACACCCGCUUACCCUACCCGAUAGCAAUGGAUUCUUAACCUUUAUCGUUUAUUGUACAUUGCGCAGCUAUUGCAGUGCUGUGGGUAUUUAGUACGGCUAUUAGCACUAAUGGGGCGAAUAGGCCACUAGGUUUGCGACGGUCAGGGACCAGAUUUCGUGUCACAGACUAUAGCUGGAAGUCCCAGGGUAUUUAUACUAGCCGCCGAGAAC
Molecule: non-coding RNA, 600 nt
Organism: Cinara cedri
Lineage: Eukaryota; Metazoa; Arthropoda; Insecta; Hemiptera; Aphididae
Source: the annotation of a GenBank genome assembly